ACUCUCACCCUGUGACUUACCUAAACGUUGCUUCGGCGGGAAUAGACGGCCCUGUAAAACGGGCCGCCCCCGCCAGAGGACCCUUAACUCUGUUUCUUAUAAUGUUUCUUCUGAGUAAAACAAGCAAAUAAAUUAAAACUUUCAACAACGGAUCUCUUGGCUCUGGCAUCGAUGAAGAACGCAGCGAAAUGCGAUAAGUAAUGUGAAUUGCAGAAUUCAGUGAAUCAUCGAAUCUUUGAACGCACAUUGCGCCCGCCAGUAUUCUGGCGGGCAUGCCUGUUCGAGCGUCAUUACAACCCUCAGGCCCCCGGGCCUGGCGUUGGGGAUCGGCGGAGCGCCCCUCGUGGGCGCACGCCGUCCCCCAAAUACAGUGGCGGUCCCGCCGCAGCUUCCAUCGCGUAGUAGCUAACACCUCGCGACUGGAGAGCGGCGCGGCCACGCCGUAAAACACCCCAACUCUUCUGAAGUUGACCUCGAAUCAGGUAGGAAUACCCGCUGAACUUAAGCAUAUCAAUAAGCGGAGGAAAAGAAA
This 532-nucleotide ribosomal RNA is filed under the name Fusarium solani. RNAcentral's name for it is "eukaryotic LSU rRNA". The stretch from base 137 to 290 matches the Rfam family "5.8S ribosomal RNA". The record is from RNAcentral. Lineage: Eukaryota; Fungi; Ascomycota; Sordariomycetes; Hypocreales; Nectriaceae.